RNAcentral lists this long non-coding RNA (2333 nucleotides) under Homo sapiens (human). RNAcentral's name for it is "HSALNT0339167". The record is from RNAcentral. Lineage: Eukaryota; Metazoa; Chordata; Mammalia; Primates; Hominidae.
AGACUGCUGUGCUAGCAAUCAGCGAGACUCCGUGGGCGUAGGACCCUCCGAGCCAGGACCCUGGGCCAGGGAAAGAAAUGAAUGAAGAUGCCACCUUAUGCCCAGAACACAUCUCUCAUUCAAUGAUAAAGGAUUUGUGGUUGGGUCAACUUUUGUGAUGCUCAACUCUUUCCUUCGUAAGGACGGGCUCUUUCUCAGGAGGCUUUUGUACUCCCAAUUAACGCACUGCUAAUCUGAUGAAGCUCUAUUUUGUAGCUAUGCCAUCUGGAUCACAUAGCCUCCAAGGCCAGCAGAGCAGAGGAAGACAAAGAGCAGAGCAAGAUAGAGGUGGAAGUUACACGUCCUUUGUGCUUACUUUCUACUGGCCUCAUCGGGUCGCAAGAUCCCACUCUGAUAGGUGCAUGGGGGCUUGGAAAAUUAGAAAAACAUGUGAAUAUUUGGUAGGCACUUACAAUCUCUGCCAGCAUCUGCCCUUCUAAUCAGCAAAUUUUCAAUUACUUUUUUCUUCACCCACAUAAGACAUCUUAAUCCAACCUCAGGGGACACAUCCUGAUGUCCAAUCUAGUCACUACUUCAAGCUUAAUGGGAUACAUGGGCCUCUCUGUCAUGUCUGCAUGAGGCUCUUCUUGAUCAGUUGACCUAUGAACUGAAAGAAAGCAUAUAUCGUUGUCCUCCACUGUCUAUAUCACUGCAUACAGAGUGGUGGAAAGGAACAGAAUAACGAUGGUAUACAUUCCUAUUUGAAAGGGGAUGAUUAGAGACACAAAACAAUGAUAACAUCUCACUGGUCAGACAUGGUGAAAGUUCCCCUGUGCAGGGGAUGGUAAAUGUUCCUUAAUUAGGCCUUGGUUCUGGUCCUCGAGAGGCAUUCUUUUAUCCAUUGUCCUCUAUGGCUGUAAUCUGUGCCCUCCAAGAUAUUCUUUCUUUUCCAUUACUCUCUGAAGUGGUUGAGGGGGAAUACGUCUUCCUUUGGGGCUGCACGGUUUUCUCAGCAAACUUCUUUCCCACAGAACAUUGGCAGCUUAAGGGUUAUAAGUCUCAAAAUGUCAGUGGCUUUUUUUAGUCCAGGCUCAUGAUUUAUUUAACAAUGCAUUUCCCUCAAACACACAGUAGGCUUCUGAUCUAUUUGCUUUAAAUAACUUUCAUGUGGUAGUAACCACACCUAAAGUUCUUUUCUAGGCAUAAUUCUAAAAUCUGCUUUGUUUCGUUGCUUUCUCACUUCUGUGCAUUUCUCUCUCUUCUAUAUGGGGGCUGUGUUGAAGAUGUCUGACUAAGAGGUAGAAAGUUCACACACUUAAUCUGUUUACACUCUUAAUUGAUUCUCAUCCUAAGUCAUUUCAUCCAAUGGGGACAUUUCACUGUGAUUUUGUGGCAGUCUUUUGAGAUGCCAAGUCUUCCUGUUUAGAGCCUAGAAGUAGUCACUGUUCCAACUUAGAAACUUCCAAAUUUCUGAACGAUUUUUAUUCCUUUCAUUUCUGUUUGCAAGCCAGCCAGGGUUUUCCUGAGCUUAUUUCAUUAUUGUAAUCCUCUGCCAAAUACAGCCAACAUUCACUUUCAACAUUGUUUCCCUAAGUCGUUGGACUCAGAAGCCCCACAGUCUGCCUCCCAAAUUACCACAGGAUUUUAAUUUUUGCCAAAUGGUUUCCUACUGCUUAAAAUGGAUUGCCAUUUUUUCCAGCCUCUAACAUUGGAUUCUUCACUGCCCUCUGCCUAAUUACUAAGUCAUUGCUACACGUUUCAGGUUUCUUUGUGUUGGCCUCUUAUCACUGAUAAAAAUUCUGAAUUUGUUAGGAUAGGCUAGACUAUGCUGUGAAAACAAAUAUCCCCAUUUCAAUUCACUUGCUGAACAAAAUGAAGUUAUCUUUUUUGUUCACACAAAAUCUCCAGGUUCCCGUCUGAUUUCACUUUGGGCUGUGGUUGUGAGUAUUGGAGAAGUAUAAAUUGUGGGGCAAAUGGAAAGGAAGUUCAAGGUGACAUUUUGCUUAGCAAACUCGAAGUGUAUGUUGGUAUUAUUGCUUAGGUAUGGUAUAUUUAUUUGUAUGUUUACAUAGUGUGACUGCCUAAUGGCAUUAAAAAAAUCUAUAGUGCAUGGUUCACUGUUUUCCCUUCGCUGAGAAGAGCAAUGAGUAAGAAUAGAAAUAGGAAUAUAUUUUAUCUGAUGAACCAGGGUGAAAAUUAGCAAAAAAUUUGUGACAGUGGAUAUAUAAAAUAAAAUUUCCCCUUAAGUUAUAUAAUCAUGUUUACACUUUUUGCAUAUGUAACUAAAUGAAUGUAUACUUUCUUCUAGUGGCUUACUGGUAGAAAAUAAACACAGAUGUUUUUGUUUUAUAUUU